UGAAAGGGGAAUGACAUCACCAAUGGCAGUUGCCAGAGGAAGUUCCCAUGGUCGAGCUUGUGACAAAAAACAAAGCACUGCCGGGAGAUAGCCUGGAUUAUCAUAGAUUUUUCCCUUUCGAAUAAAAGCAAGAGCAUGUCUUAGAAUAAAUUUUCCUUCAGGUAUUUUUGGUCGCUAACCAUUCAGGUGAAGAUUAAAAAGAAUGAUGGAUAGGUGACGCCUAAGAACAUGGGAGCUACACCAACUACAACACCUUGAUAAGCCUUGGUGAGGGGACGAUUAUGAAAGCAAGCUUGAACUCCACACACUUGUGUUGUGUUGCUUAGAAAUCCAAACUCCAAGUGUGGGGGACGUAUGUGAGUUAUCUUGAGUAAAGUUUCUAUUGUACCAAAUCUUAUCUUAGUUUGGAGAUGGUGUUGGUUCUUACAUCUUGCCCCACUAAAAAAGAGACAAAAUAAAAUAAAAAUAAAAGGAAGAGUUACCACGGUGGCGAUUUAGAAAUCUUCAUCACCCAAAACGCCAUGGUAAGUACCUUCAGGUAUGUCCUACUUUUGACUUUAAACAAAGCCUUUCCGGGAGGUUGCUUGAGGUUCACCAUCAUAUACUCAUGUUUAUCCCCCUUUGAAUAUAGCUUGAUCAUGCUUUCAUGCUUCCUUUAUCUAUUCUCGUAUGCUCUGGGUUGUAUAUAUGUCUCGAGAAAUACAUUCAUAGGCCUUUUAAAUUAAGCAUGAUGCUUAGGUUAAAAAGUCUUCAUCAGUCAAACUAGACAUGGUGUCGAGUUUGGUUGAUGAACCUUAGAGUUAAUACUUUCAUAAAUCUUGGUUGUAUAUGUGGACUAACCCUUGCAGGAAUCUUCAAAUUCGAACGGGUAAGUCGUUAAGCUUGAUUCAAAUGGGAAGGUAAACUAAGGCAUUGGAUUCAAGUUACGCAACAUACAAAGGAGGUACAUAUCACCCUUCAAG
Molecule: long non-coding RNA, 962 nt
Filed under: Setaria viridis
Lineage: Eukaryota; Viridiplantae; Streptophyta; Magnoliopsida; Poales; Poaceae
Description: long non-coding RNA (SVIR_LNC008996)
Source: RNAcentral